Molecule: ribosomal RNA, 585 nt
Filed under: Hanseniaspora uvarum
Lineage: Eukaryota; Fungi; Ascomycota; Saccharomycetes; Saccharomycodales; Saccharomycodaceae
Description: partial large subunit ribosomal RNA
Rfam family: Eukaryotic large subunit ribosomal RNA
Source: RNAcentral
ACAUGGGCAUACUUAGUACGGCGAGUGAGCGGUAAAAGCUCAAAUUUGAAAUCUGGUACUUUCAGUGCCCGAGUUGUAAUUUGUAGAAUUUGUCUUUGAUUAGGUCCUUGUCUAUGUUCCUUGGAACAGGACGUCAUAGAGGGUGAGAAUCCCGUUUGGCGAGGAUACCUUUUCUCUGUAAGACUUUUUCGAAGAGUCGAGUUGUUUGGGAAUGCAGCUCAAAGUGGGUGGUAAAUUCCAUCUAAAGCUAAAUAUUGGCGAGAGACCGAUAGCGAACAAGUACAGUGAUGGAAAGAUGAAAAGAACUUUGAAAAGAGAGUGAAAAAGUACGUGAAAUUGUUGAAAGGGAAGGGCAUUUGAUCAGACAUGGUGUUUUUUGCAUGCACUCGCCUCUCGUGGGCUUGGGCCUCUCAAAAAUUUCACUGGGCCAACAUCAAUUCUGGCAGCAGGAUAAAUCAUUAAGAAUGUAGCUACUUCGGUAGUGUUAUAGCUUUUUGGAAUACUGUUAGCCGGGAUUGAGGACUGCGCUUCGGCAAGGAUGUUGGCAUAAUGGUUAAAUGCCGCCCGUCUUGAACCCACGGACCA